CCUACGGGUGGCAGCAGUCGAGAAUCAUUCACAAUGGGGGCAACCCUGAUGGUGCGACGCCGCGUGGGGGAAUGAAGGUCUUCGGAUUGUAAACCCCUGUCAUGUGGGCGCAAAUUAAAAAGAUAGCACCACAAGAGGAAGAGACGGCAAACUCUGUGCCAGCAGCCGCGGUAAUACAGAGGUCUCAAGCGUUGUUCGGAAUCACUGGGCGUAAGGCGUGCGUAGGCUGUUUCGUAAGUCGUGUGUGAAAGGCGCGGGCUCAACCCGCGGACCGCACAUGAUACUGCGAGACUAGAGUAAUGGAGGGGGAACCGGAAUUCUCGGUGUAGCAGUGAAAUGCGUAGAUAUCGAGAGGAACACUCGUGGCGAAGGCGGGUUCCUGGACAUUAACUGACGCUGAGGCACGAAGGCGAGGGGAGCGAAAGGGAUUAGAUACCCCUGUAGUC
RNAcentral lists this ribosomal RNA (446 nucleotides) under uncultured bacterium. Its description in RNAcentral is "partial 16S ribosomal RNA". It matches the Rfam family "Bacterial small subunit ribosomal RNA", at positions 338 to 795 of the family's 1533-position model. The record is from RNAcentral.